NNNNNGUGCCAGCAGAGCAGGCAGCCUGUGCCCCAGCUGCAGCACUGCCCGCCGUGCCUGCCCCAUGCAGGGGGCUUGGGGAGGGCAGAGGAGUUCAGCUGGGGAGAACAAACUCCUUAAAAGGCUGGAUAUUCAGGCAGCCGAGGCUUUCCCAGGCAGCCAGGAGUUCCUGGAAGUUGGCUCCUGGUGCCAGAGAACAAGUCUUGGAGAGCUGCACGGGUGAACCUUCCUGAAAGGAGCCACCCUGUGCCAGCUCUUCCCCUGCCAUGUGCUGUUCUGGGGUGGCUGCUGUCCCUGCACGUCCCCUGCUUGCUCCCACGAUCCCUGCCACGAGCUCAGCUCCCAGAGGAGACCCAGCUCUCACCAGGCUUUGCUAUUACAGAGGGGUGGCCCAGGACCUCCGUUAUCACUGUCCCAGUGCCCCUCUGGCCCCAUUCCCUGCCUGGGAGCCUUCCACCAGACCAAGUCCCCUCUUCCUGGAUCCCAUGGACCUCUUCAAGUGCAAAACCUUCUUGCAGCAUCACUCUGGGCCUGUUUCCUCACUCCAGCUCUGUGUGCCACCCACGCCUGGCUCUCCUGGAGCCUCCUGACACGCUGAAUUCCUUCAUGUGCCUCUUGUUCUUCAGGGAUGCUGGUGAGCUGGCUCCAAGAACGGACUGCAGGGAGCUCUGCUGGCUGCUGUGCUGGUCCCCCAGCACCCCCUGUCCUGUCCUUUACAGCCCAAAUGCUCCCGUGUCACCUCGUUCUCCUUCAGCCUUCCUUGCAGCUGUCCAAAAAAAACCCCACCUACCCCCCAAAACGAGCUCCGGGUUUUUUUCGAGAUGCCAAGUCCAUCUGGUACAGUCUAUCCCUGAUAAACAGCCUUCCCUCGGGGCCUCUCGGGAGCAGAAACAGCGCCGGGGCUGGACCUGCCCGAGCAAACAUUCCUCCCCGCACACGCACGUCUGCUGCCCGCUGGCAGCGCGGCCACCCCGGGAGCCUGGGCACCAGCCACGGUGGCUCCGGCACGUCCCACCCCGGACAGGGACCCUUCCUUCCCACCCCGGGACAGGGACCUUUCCCCACCCCGGACAGGGACCCUUCCUUCCC
RNAcentral lists this long non-coding RNA (1089 nucleotides) under Parus major (Great Tit). RNAcentral describes it as "lncRNA (ENSPMJG00000018861.1)". Lineage: Eukaryota; Metazoa; Chordata; Aves; Passeriformes; Paridae. The record is from RNAcentral.